CCUACGGGGUGCAGCAGUGGGGAAUAUUGCGCAAUGGGCGAAAGCCUGACGCAGCGACGCCGCGUGAGGGAUGAAGGUCUUCGGAUCGUAAACCUCUGUCAGCAGGGAAGAACGGUCACUGUGCUAAUCAGCAGUGAAUUGACGGUACCUGCAAAGGAAGCACCGGCUAACUCCGUGCCAGCAGCCGCGGUAAUACGGAGGGUGCGAGCGUUAAUCGGAAUUACUGGGCGUAAAGCGCUCGUAGGCGGUAUGUCAAGUCAAGGGUGAAAUCCCCGCGCUCAACGUGGGAACUGCCUUUGAAACUGGCAAACUGGAGUGUGUGAGAGGAUAGUGGAAUUCCAGGUGUAGGAGUGAAAUCCGUAGAUAUCUGGAGGAACAUCAGUGGCGAAGGCGACUAUCUGGAACAUAACUGACGCUGAGGAGCGAAAGCGUGGGUAGCAAACAGGAUUAGAUACCCUGGUAGUC
RNAcentral lists this ribosomal RNA (465 nucleotides) under uncultured bacterium. Its description in RNAcentral is "partial 16S ribosomal RNA". It matches the Rfam family "Bacterial small subunit ribosomal RNA", at positions 338 to 795 of the family's 1533-position model. The record is from RNAcentral.